Long non-coding RNA from Hypanus sabinus (Atlantic stingray), 247 nucleotides. RefSeq lists it as uncharacterized. NCBI's taxonomy places the organism in Eukaryota, Metazoa, Chordata, Chondrichthyes, Myliobatiformes, Dasyatidae. The record is from RefSeq and is a predicted model, not a curated record. The transcript has 3 exons.
CUUCAGUUCAGUUACACUGAAGACAAGAUGGGCAAAGAGGAAAGCAAGGAGGACGGACGUGUGAGGAGCGGACUGCGGUUCCCGAGUGGCUGAUACUGGAUGUCGGCAGUUCGGAUGGUGGCCAAAGCUUGGAAGGUCGCUGUGGAUGGAAUCAGAGCUUCCCGCCAGCUCCAAGGCACUUGGCAAGAGCUCGACGACAUAUUCUGCAGGUUGCCUAGACGAUUGCGAUGCCAAGAAGCUUGACGAC